GCGCCCGUAGCUCAGCUGGAUAGAGCGCUGCCCUCCGAAGGCAGAGGUCACAGGUUCGAAUCCUGUCGGGCGCGCCA
This 77-nucleotide transfer RNA is filed under the name Amaricoccus sp. RNAcentral's name for it is "tRNA-Arg". It matches the Rfam family "tRNA". From Rfam's summary of the family: Transfer RNA (tRNA) molecules are approximately 80 nucleotides in length. Their secondary structure includes four short double-helical elements and three loops (D, anti-codon, and T loops). The record is from RNAcentral. Lineage: Bacteria; Pseudomonadati; Pseudomonadota; Alphaproteobacteria; Rhodobacterales; Paracoccaceae. RNAcentral also lists the same sequence under 9 other names.